This 1200-nucleotide long non-coding RNA is filed under the name Theobroma cacao (cacao). RNAcentral's name for it is "long non-coding RNA (TCAC_LNC001609)". Lineage: Eukaryota; Viridiplantae; Streptophyta; Magnoliopsida; Malvales; Malvaceae. The record is from RNAcentral.
CACUUCAGAGAUUAUGGAUUAUUUUAUCUACCACCUGAUUUAUAAAAUCUUUAUUUGCAUGACAUGGCAAUUUAUCGCAACCUAGCCUUUCAAGGCUGAAUACACAGUACAAAUAAUUCUAACACCAAAAAUCAGUUUAGCCAUUCAUGCUCAUAUAUUGUCAUAAGCCAUUCAAUUUAAAACCAUAAAAUUACAGCACAUUAAGUGGUCUCCAAUUACUCUAUUUUCAAAACCAUAAUUCAAUUUCAAGACAAUUUAUUAAAUCAUUUUAUUUAAACACAUUUUACUUAUAAAACAUAAGGAUUUACCAUUUAAACUCAUUUUCCUAUAAAAUAAAAAAAUCGAAUAAAAACCACUCUAGAUAAUUAAGAUGAUAGUAAGGUUACUCACAGUAUCAGGAGUAGAAAUAUUCCUAGUCCCGAUCUUUGGUGUAAUCUCUUUAUCCUUAUCAAAUAGCUCACCACCUAUACAUCACACAUGACACAAAAUUCAAUAAUUUGUGUCAAUUUGUCAUAAACUAUUUCAGGCUCUCUAAAUCUAAAUGAAUGCAUGGAAUGCUCAGUCAACCGCUUAAACGCGAUGUUGACCUAAUUCGGCCUAUCACCCGAUUAAAUUACUAACGCGUCCAAUUUAAUCUCAAAUUACUCCAUUUCUUUUCUAAUACCUCAAUUCACCAAACAUUAUUCAAAUAACACCAAUUUCAGCAUCAAAACCCUCCCAUUUCUUCAUGGAAAAAUUUAGCCAUUACAGUGCACUAACACCGUGAUUUUUCCUACUUAAUUUUCUCACCAUUAUUCAUCAUUUUCUAAGCCAUUUCUCUUGAAAUAAUAACAAUCCAUCACCCACACACAUCAAGGAAGAUUCGGCCAAUGAAGAUUCAUGGGAAAAAUGGAUUCUUUUCUUGUUGUUUUGCUUCUAAAUAUGCUAAACUAACCUUAAUCACUAACAUAACUUAAAAUCAAACAAUUCCAACAUCAUUUCUCUCACCAUACCCAUUCGGCCUACCACUUAUUCACUAUGAAAUCAUGCUUCUCAACCAUAGAAAUAAGAAAAUAAAGCAUGGGUAUUGUAAAUCUCAAGUAAAAAUAAAGAAUUUUCACUUUACCUUGCUUAAUUCCUUGGAUUUUCACACUUUCUCUUGAAUUUUCCUUGGCUAGGGUUUGUUUUCCUUAUUUUCUUUCUUUCCUCUCUUGUUUUCUU